CAGCCGCCACGGUAAAACGGAGGGUGCUAGCGUUGUUCGGAAUCACUGGGCGUAAAGGGCGCGUAGGCGGCCUGUUAAGUCGGAUGUGAAAGCCCGGGGCUCAACCCCGGAACUGCAUCCGAGACUGGCAGGCUUGAGACCGGGAGAGGAGGGUGGAAUAUCCAGUGUAGCAGUGAAAUGCGUAGAGAUCGGGAGGAACAUCAGUGGCGAAGGCGGCCAUCUGGGACAACACUGACGCUGAGGCACGAAAGCGUGGGGAGCAAACAGGAUUAGAUACCCCGGUAGUCCCUGUCUCUUAUAC
Molecule: ribosomal RNA, 301 nt
Filed under: uncultured bacterium
Lineage: Bacteria
Description: partial 16S ribosomal RNA
Rfam family: Bacterial small subunit ribosomal RNA
Source: RNAcentral